This 41-nucleotide non-coding RNA is filed under the name Legionella shakespearei DSM 23087. Its description in RNAcentral is "Legionella RNA 69". It matches the Rfam family "Legionella RNA 69", at positions 1 to 41 of the family's 82-position model. Lineage: Bacteria; Pseudomonadati; Pseudomonadota; Gammaproteobacteria; Legionellales; Legionellaceae. The record is from Rfam by way of RNAcentral.
AGACAGCGCUAUCGCGCUUCCUCAGCCCGAACGGCAUCGAA